Molecule: ribosomal RNA, 801 nt
Filed under: uncultured Sulfitobacter sp.
Lineage: Bacteria; Pseudomonadati; Pseudomonadota; Alphaproteobacteria; Rhodobacterales; Roseobacteraceae
Description: bacterial SSU rRNA
Rfam family: Bacterial small subunit ribosomal RNA
Source: RNAcentral
UCAGAACGAACGCUGGCGGCAGGCCUAACACAUGCAAGUCGAGCGCAGUCCUUCGGGACCGAGCGGCGGACGGGUUAGUAACGCGUGGGAACAUACCCUUUUCUACGGAAUAGCCUCGGGAAACUGAGAGUAAUACCGUAUAAGCCCUUCGGGGGAAAGAUUUAUCGGGAAAGGAUUGGCCCGCGUUAGAUUAGAUAGUUGGUGGGGUAAUGGCCUACCAAGUCUACGAUCUAUAGCUGGUUUUAGAGGAUGAUCAGCAACACUGGGACUGAGACACGGCCCAGACUCCUACGGGAGGCAGCAGUGGGGAAUCUUAGACAAUGGGCGCAAGCCUGAUCUAGCCAUGCCGCGUGUGUGAUGAAGGUCUUAGGAUCGUAAAGCACUUUCGCCAGGGAUGAUAAUGACAGUACCUGGUAAAGAAACCCCGGCUAACUCCGUGCCAGCAGCCGCGGUAAUACGGAGGGGGUUAGCGUUGUUCGGAAUUACUGGGCGUAAAGCGUACGUAGGCGGAUCAGAAAGUAGGGGGUGAAAUCCCAGGGCUCAACCCUGGAACUGCCUCCUAAACUCCUGGUCUUGAGUUCGAGAGAGGUGAGUGGAAUUCCAAGUGUAGAGGUGAAAUUCGUAGAUAUUUGGAGGAACACCAGUGGCGAAGGCGGCUCACUGGCUCGAUACUGACGCUGAGGUACGAAAGUGUGGGGAGCAAACAGGAUUAGAUACCCUGGUAGUCCACACCGUAAACGAUGAAUGCCAGUCGUCGGGCAGUAUACUGUUCGGUGACACACCUAACGGAUUAAGCAUCCG